Papaver somniferum (opium poppy) is the source of this 2676-nucleotide long non-coding RNA. RefSeq lists it as uncharacterized. NCBI's taxonomy places the organism in Eukaryota, Viridiplantae, Streptophyta, Magnoliopsida, Ranunculales, Papaveraceae. The transcript is spliced from 5 exons. The record is from RefSeq and is a predicted model, not a curated record.
CUUCUAAUAAGCCCCUGCAAUUGAUGGAGUUCAUCAUUAAGUUUUGUUUGCAAUUGUUCUACAUGCUUUAGUCCAUAGAUUUCCAGAAUGCGUCCUUCGAGUUUUAUUAGCACAUUUCAAAAAUAGAUGCUCUAUACUGCCCAAGGGAUAACCCACUUGAUUUCCCCCAAGCUUUAGAAAAUGAUCCCUGGUCUCCCUUGUCUUUGAGCAGUGUAAUUAGUUCGUGGUUAGUGGAUUUUGCUGCAUAAGGAUUAAAGUGCUUAGAAUCUUCGAAGGCAAAGUGUUUGAUAAAUUGUGAGGAUCCUAUUCUUGAUCGGAAAUAAAAUCAGCUUUUGAAGCAAUAUUGGGUGAUUCGAUGAAUCAAGCUUCUCAGCUAGUAGUAAUCAAAUCAGUUCCCUGCUUAAAUCAUAUGCUAAGGAAAGCUCCGUACAAGACUCAAAUCGAGAAACGAAAGUUUAACAGAAGAGUUGAUUAAUUUGGCCAGCAAUUGGGAAAUGUUUGCUGACAACUUCCCAAACUGUUCUAAUUAUAUGGGCAAACUUCCUUAAAAACAGGCAACCUAUGCUCUCGGAGUCGUUGUUGAGGUCUGUACCGAACACCAUUGAUGUAAGCUUCAGGAUUAGAGGAUGUUGAGGGAUUAGCUAAUGCAGGAAUGUCACUAGUGUUGAUAAUGUUAUCAUCCUGUGGUGUCCAAUCUGUCACUCCAGUAGUAGUUUGAACUGUACUCAGCGGUGCCUCCUAGCAAAAGAAUGCCACAACAUUGGAAGUCUCGUGAGGAGUGGCGGGUCAACAGAUGAAUAUAUAGUAAAACGAUAUAUACCUGGGGCUGUGUUAUGUGAUUGCUGCUGGUAAGAUAUACCCACGGAACAGUAGUUGCUGAGUUGAGUUGUUGAUCACUGGGGAUCAUCAUUGGUGCACCUGCUAAGAGUCAAGAACUAAGUUUGUUAGUGAAACUUACAUGAGGAGAUGAUGCUGAUACUGGAGAGCCGCAUGAAGACUGAGUUGGUACUUCGACUCGUACAGGCUGUCCUUGUUUUUGCUCUCCAACAGUUGAUCAAGUGAUUUUGAGCUUGAUUUAUCUAUUCAGAAAAAGUUCAGAAUAAAUAAAAGAAUGAACAAAAUGAGUUAAAGCAGCUAAACUUAAGCUAAUAGGGCAGUAGUAGCAGUAACAUGGCCUGAUUUCUUUCUCACUUACUCUGCAGGGCAAACUUCCUUAAAAACAGGCAACCUAUGCUCUCGGAGUCGUUGUUGAGGUCCGUACCGAACACCAUUGAUGUAAGCUUCAGGAUUAGAGGAUGUUGAGGGAUUAGCUAAUGCAGGAAUGUCACUAGUGUUGAUAAUGUUAUCAUCCUGUGGUGUCCAAUCUGUCACUCCAGUAGUAGUUUGAACUGUACUCAGCGGUGCCUCCUAGCACAAGAAUGCCACAACAUUGGAAGUCUCGUGAGAAGUGGCGGGUCAACAGAUGAAUAUAUAGUAAAACGAUAUAUACCUGGGGCUGUAUUAUGUGAUUGCUGCUGGUAAGAUAUACCCACGGAACAGUAGUUGCUGAGUUGAGUUGUUGAUCACUGGGGAUCAUCAUUGGUGCACCUGCUAAGGUAGAUGAUGCUGACUUGUUGAAACCACCAUUUGGAUGAACGUAAUGACAUUUCAAACCAAAUCGGCAUGAAUUUGUUCCUAUAUACGUGCAGACAACCUUCUCACUGGAUCUUCUCAAGUUUUCUGUUUCUGUAACCCGACUUAACUGCAUUUUAAAUCAACAUCUCAUAAAUUAAUUUAUGUCUGUAACUCUCUUGACCCACUGUACUAUGGUGCAGAGUCAAGAACUAAGUUUGUUAGUGAAACUUACAUGAGGAGAUGAUGCUGCUACUGGAGAGCCGAAUGAAGUCGGACUGAGUUGGUACUUCGACUCGUACAGGCUGUCCUUGUUUUUGCUCUCCAACAGUUGAUCAAGUGAUUUCAUGCUUGAUUUAGGAAGUUGUUGGUUUCUUCCUGAUCCAUUUGGUACAUCUAAUGAGGAUGAUGGUGUUGAUGAAGUCAUGAGAGUUGGUUUCAAGCUCUCCUUUUCCUGCCUUAACUGCAAAAGCAGCAACUCAACCACCAAUCAAGAAUGAUUACGUCCAACUCUCAUUGCCCACUACAGUAUGGUGCAGAAUCAAGAACCAAGUAUUACAGUGAAACUUACACGAGGAGAUGAUGAGAAUAGUGGGGAGCGGAGUGGAGUUGGAUUGGGUAGGAAUCUCAAACCAUAAGGACAGUGUUCCUUCAUGUUCUCCAAUGGUCGAACAGGCGACUCUGAGCUUGAUUUAGAAAUGGAUCGCUUUCCUCCUCUGCCAGAUCCAUCAAGUGAGGGUGGUGAUGUCGAUGAGGUCACAAUAAAGCCAUCCAUUACUAUUACAUCUUCUGCUGGUGAUGAAUGAUUAUAUCCUGUUGCCUGUGGUGAUCUUGAUGGAGGUGUUUGUGGUCAUCAGAUUCUCAUUUGAAUUGAGAGGUAAUGGAAAUGGUGGUGAUGAUGAAGGUGACAAAUUAAGGUUCUGAAACUGGCGAUCCAUCAUCACAUCAAGGAAUUGAUCAUCAUUCGUUAUUGUUAUUGAGUUGUUGUUCUGUAGAGAAGAUGGAGAUCUUAAUGAUUUUCCACUACUCAGAAACGUUUUCUGACUGUUGAAUUGAUGAUGAGGA